AGAAAGCCCACAUGCAGCAACGAAGACUCACCACAGCCAAAAAACAAAUAAAUGAGAUUAUUAUUACUGAGACCUGAUGAAGGGCAAGCAUUGUGACCAGGCUUAGAUUCCAAAAUGGCUUCGGUCAAAAAAUUGCUUGUCUUAUGUUAAUUAAGUCCUGCCUAGUUCUUUUUCUCCUGAGACUACCUACCCAAUUUGCUUACAACUGGACUAACAAAAGAUCUUGGAAUAAAGAGAAGAGUAAUUGCUGGCAA
Long non-coding RNA from Bubalus bubalis (water buffalo), 254 nucleotides. RefSeq lists it as uncharacterized. Lineage: Eukaryota; Metazoa; Chordata; Mammalia; Artiodactyla; Bovidae. The transcript is spliced from 2 exons. The record is from RefSeq and is a predicted model, not a curated record.